UUGUUUUAAAACAAAACAAAACCCAAUGCUCAUUCAGAGAACAGAGCCACUUACUUCUAUUUCUAUCCAUUUCCACUGAAUUGUUAGCUCAGCAUUUAGAUUCCAGUCGUAAUCAAGCAUGCAGUCAAGAGCUGUUGAAAUCAGUGAGUGGGUUGAGGUGCACCUAACAUCUGGGGCUUGUAGUCUCUCUAUCUUGCAGCAACACUGAAAAUAACAAGGCAAUCAUUUUUGUUUUGAAAAGUUGAACAUUUCUUUCUGCAGGAACAAAUCAGAGUCAGUCAACAUUAUUAACCUAUUCCAAAUGCAAGGUAUAGCUCUUCAAGUAAGGGCUUGGUUCACAAAAUGAGAGUUCAAGAUAAUCCAUGGUAGAAAUGCAGGCCACUGGGCCUGAUAUUGUGACCAGCUGUCUUCAGGUACCUCUGAUGUCAGGCCAACCCUAUUAUGACUGUUCAAUAGCAGUUAGACAGGAUGCUUCAGCAACCAUCAACCUUGUCUACAUUGGAAUUGAAGUCAAUACAGCGAAGAACAGAGUGAGACAAUCAGCCAAUUCUUCUGGGUUAUGCGUUUCCCAGGUUUACAGUCUUUCCCAACGUGAUAUCAACAGAUAAUGGAAGUUGCACUGCAACACAUAUGGAGUGAACCAGGACAGGACAGGGCAGUCUACACGGUAUCAAAUCAGGUGUACAGCCAAAAGUGGCCUUGCGUCUCCACCUUGAAUUGCCACAGAA
RNAcentral lists this long non-coding RNA (728 nucleotides) under Pogona vitticeps (central bearded dragon). RNAcentral's name for it is "lncRNA (ENSPVIG00000012254.1)". The record is from RNAcentral. Lineage: Eukaryota; Metazoa; Chordata; Lepidosauria; Squamata; Agamidae.